AAACCUGCUCCUCCAACAGCACUCCCACUGAAACUCCCCUGUUAGCCGCUCUGUUCGCCGCCUCCUGUGCCGCUGCAGCUGACUGUGCCGCUGCCUGAGUGCCUGGCUCCUUAUAUAGGACCCCUAAUCAGGUAAGCCCCGCCCCCAACUCAGGGCUCAGCCUCGCUCUCAGCACACAGCCCCUAGCAGCCUGCACACACACUCACUCACACACAAACACCACAAACCACAAAAACCUGCUCCUCCAACAGCACUCCCACUGAAACUCCCCUGUUAGCCGCUCUGUUCGCCGCCUCCUGUGCCGCUGCAGCUGACUGUGCCGCUGCCUGAGUGCCUGGCUCCUUAUAUAGGACCCCUAAUCAGGUAAGCCCCGCCCCCAACUCAGGGCUCAGCCUCGCUCUCAGCACACAGCCCCUAGCAGCCUGCACACACACUCACUCACACACAAACACCACAAACCACAAAAACCUGCUCCUCCAACAGCACUCCCACUGAAACUCCCCUGUUAGCCGCUCUGUUCGCCGCCUCCUGUGCCGCUGCAGCUGACUGUGCCGCUGCCUGAGUGCCUGGCUCCUUAUAUAGGACCCCUAAUCAGGUAAGCCCCGCCCCCAACUCAGGGCUCAGCCUCGCUCUCAGCACACAGCCCCUAGCAGCCUGCACACACACUCACUCACACACAAACACCACAAACCACAAAAACCUGCUCCUCCAACAGCACUCCCACUGAAACUCCCCUGUUAGCCGCUCUGUUCGCCGCCUCCUGUGCCGCUGCAGCUGACUGUGCCGCUGCCUGAGUGCCUGGCUCCUUAUAUAGGACCCCUAAUCAGGUAAGCCCCGCCCCCAACUCAGGGCUCAGCCUCGCUCUCAGCACACAGCCCCUAGCAGCCUGCACACACACUCACUCACACACAAACACCACAAACCACAAAAACCUGCUCCUCCAACAGCACUCCCACUGAAACUCCCCUGUUAGCCGCUCUGUUCGCCGCCUCCUGUGCCGCUGCAGCUGACUGUGCCGCUGCCUGAGUGCCUGGCUCCUUAUAUAGGACCCCUAAUCAGGUAAGCCCCGCCCCCAACUCAGGGCUCAGCCUCGCUCUCAGCACACAGCCCCUAGCAGCCUGCACACACACUCACUCACACACAAACACCACAAACCACAAAAACCUGCUCCUCCAACAGCACUCCCACUGAAACUCCCCUGUUAGCCGCUCUGUUCGCCGCCUCCUGUGCCGCUGCAGCUGACUGUGCCGCUGCCUGAGU
This is a long non-coding RNA of Gopherus flavomarginatus (Mexican gopher tortoise), 1260 nucleotides long. RefSeq lists it as uncharacterized. The record is from RefSeq and is a predicted model, not a curated record. The transcript has 3 exons. Lineage: Eukaryota; Metazoa; Chordata; Testudines; Testudinidae.